Odocoileus virginianus texanus is the source of this 4494-nucleotide RNA transcript. It is a transcript of the gene named Myb/SANT DNA binding domain containing 2, with no coding region annotated. Lineage: Eukaryota; Metazoa; Chordata; Mammalia; Artiodactyla; Cervidae. The record is from RefSeq and is a predicted model, not a curated record.
CGCUUGGAAGAUGGCUGCGCCCUGUGGCUCGGAGCUGCCCGCCAACUCGCCGCUAAAAAUCCCGAAGAUGGAGGUGCUCUCCCCGGCUUCUCCUGGUGGCCUGAGCGACGGAAACCCAUCGCUGUCCGACCCUUCCACGCCUCGGGGUGCCUCCCCGCUCGGGCCGGGCAGUGCGGCGGGCUCGGGGGCAGCGGCGUCCGGGGGUCUCGGGCUGGGGCUGGGGGGCCGCAGCGCCGCCUCGUCCUCGGUCUCCUUCUCCCCUGGUGGAGGCGGUGGUGGCGGGGCUGCGGCAGCCGCCGCCGCCGCCUGCCGGGGCAUGUCGUGGACGCCGGCAGAGACGAACGCGCUCAUCGCAGUGUGGGGCAACGAGCGGCUGGUGGAGGCACGGUACCAGCAGCUGGAGGGAGCCGGCACGGUGUUCGGCAGCAAGGCCCCCGGGCCGGCCAUGUACGAGCGCGUGUCCCGGGCCCUGGCCGAGCUGGGCUACGAGCGGACCCCGUCCCAGUGCCGGGAGCGCAUCAAGGUGGUGCCCUGGGAUGUGACGUACUGAGAAAAGAUUCAACAGAGAUGCUAAUGUAGCACCGUCAGCGCUGAUAUAGGAGCUGGUUCGAUGCCCAGAACUGAAUGCUGUGUUCCAGCUGUGGCCUCACCGGUGCUGAAUAGAGAGGAAGAGCCACCUCCAUAGCUUACAUGUGAUUCCUCUGCUUACACAACCCAAUACUGGAUUUACUUACUUUGGCAAGAUAGCUGCAUUGUGCACUGUAUUUAAUGUUACGUGUACUGUAACCCUGGGUCUCUCUCUGCAUUGCUGCCGUUAAACCCCCAAUCCUGCCAAUCUUAAAGCUCCUGCCUUUGUUUACCUGCCCCGCUUCCCACCCCCCAGACUCCCCUUACAUUCAUCCACAAUGAAUGUCAUCUUUUAUUCUCUCAUUUCCUCUCACUGUAAUCUUAAACUUUGGCAAAACCUUCCCUCUGUCUAUGAAUUGUCAGUUGUCAGCCAUCUGAUUUUUUCUCCCUGCUUUGGUAAUGGGACAUCUCUCACUUCUCUCUGGUUUUCUUUUGUAGUCGUUGAACACUUGGCAUGGUGGAUUUAUCAAGCAUUCACUUGGCAGUUCUUCUGAAUCAGAUACCUUUGGAUUUCUCUGAUCCGACCACAUGGUCAAGUUGUUUUAGUUCUUCUAUCCGUGUGACUUCACUCAGGAUAUAGUAUUAUCUCAUAACUCCUGGGGGAGACAGUAAUAGAGAUUUACCAUGAACAUUUCUAACAGUAAAGGAAGUGUUCUUCUUCACUGUGAAUAGAAUAGUCUUUAAUAAUUUUAAGCAAAUUCUUUCCUCUCUGAGGUCUUAAUUUUUUGAAAAAUGCUAGAGCCAAGUGACUAUAAAUUUGUAAGAUGGGUGAGAUAUAAAGGAAGAAAGGAAGGAAACAAGAUUUCUCUGUAGAACAGGAAAUGGUUCUCGAAGGAAGCUGAAUUGAGGUUCUUGUUGGGCUUGGUACAGCUUUCCAAAAUGGGAGGCAAGUUUUUCCUAGAUACCAUUGCAUUAUCUAAUCUAAGGUGCACAGUCGAUGUUUAGUUGGUUUAUUGAGGACUGUUGAUACAGACAUACAAUCUUUGUGCUUUGGUUAAUCAUUUAGAGUGUGGAAAGUGUAACCUUUUCUGGUUUAUUAUGGAUGAUAAGAAUUGGAAGGCCUCCGUAUGUCCUUUUCCUGCAUUUCUAAAGUCCCUCUCGCUUAUCUAAAUCCCAGUGUUUGUUAGAGUAGCAGUCAAGCUGAUGUUUCUUUCUUUGUUUUCUAUCUCAGUUGAUAUAUGCUUUUUAAACAGCCUCUGCUUGGAUCUGUGGUCUUUACUGAACCCAGAACGCACCUCUUUUGUGUAUUUAUGUCUCCAGAGAGUUGGAAAUCUUUUUAACAUUGUUUCGAUACAUCAAAUUCCCAUCUUAUGGAUUUAGAUGUCACCAAACAUUUUUCAUUCAGACGCCUAAUAGGUAUUUUACAUUUCAGCAUAUUACACUACUAAAGUAUAUUUCAAAAUUACUCUGCAAAGUAAGAGGUGACAGGAUCUGUUAGACUUUUUUUUGAUGGAAUAUAAAAUAUAUCAUCUGACUGUUCUUCCAUAUCUAGAACCCUUAAACACUGCUGGUUUCCUUAUUCAUACACAGAAGAAGUGAAAUGUUAAGCUCGAUUAGAUGGUUUCAAAGAAAGUAAAUCUUCUCUGUAGCUUCCCACCAAAUGUAGUGUCAAAGAUUGGUCGCUUUGCUCACGCCUUGGUCACAUAGUGUGGCACGUUCCUUCAGAGGAGUGUUAAUUUCACUCCCUGACUUCCGAAGUGACCCUCAGCGACAGAUCCGUGGGGGUUCUUUGUGUGUGGAGAGCCGUGCUCCAGGCAGCCAGCAAGUAGGGAGCGCUGAGUGGUGUGGUUUCCAUCUCCAUUUAUGGCCUUGGAAGGGUGAGAGGGACAAGGCUGGGACUCUCCAUUUACGGUCCUUGGAGGAGCUGAAAAGAGCAGUUGGGGUGUUCCUGGAGGCAGAAAGUAGACAUUGUGAGAUAAAAAUAAAUUGGCAGGAGAUGUUUGCAAUUCAAAUUCCAGUUCCCGCAAGGAGGGCAGAGGGUCCCGGGUAAUGGGGUAUAGAAAGUUACAUGAGGUCAGCUGGAGGCAUUUGUCCCCUCCCAUUUGAAGAGUUGCCCAUGACACAUUUCCCAGGUUCAUUUCCAAUUUGUUCCAGAAAGUUGUGUGUUAUGUACUUGUGAGUAUCCUUUACAAAGAGGAAGAAGGAACACUUUUAAAGAGUGUAUGAUCAGAAACCUUACUUCUUUAAGGCAUCCUUUCAUGUACCAAAAGAAAUCUCCAGAAAGGAAGAGUGAGGCAAGUGCUUAUGCAGGGGACAGGCUGGCUGGUUUCAGGGUGGACGACUCUUAAUCGCUGCUCUGUGUCGGAGGAAGAUUGUCAUGUGUGUUUUGUGUUUAUUAUUCCCUUUGCCUGUCUGGAUUUCUGGCCUCAAGGGAGAGAUCUGCAGUGUUUGACAGAGUGUCUUCCUGUAGUUUGUCAACUGAGAUUUAAUGGUACUGAACUUUCGAGGAGGCUCCAUAAAGAUUAUUCAGAGUUGUUUUAUUUUGGCGAGAGUAGGUGAGGUAUUGGCUUAUGGAAAGUCAUCUCACAUUCAGGAGAAAUUCAGUUUGGCUGAUGUGUGUAAAUUAAGUCUAAGGUAAGCUAGUUUGGCACAGUUGAGUUUGAAAGCAUUUGGAGAAAAAGAGUCUUGUCUGCCAUGAAAAGUCUCAAGAGUAAAACCCAGUAAAGUAGAAAGGAGAUGAAAAGGAACAAAAGGAGGCAGAGACAGGACAGAGAAUGAAUAUAAUUAAACUAAAUUUGGAACUGAGGCGCAAGGCCUGGGACUAAAUCCUUGAUUUAUCUUUUGAAAUAUCAUGUAAGAUAGCAUAAGAUAUACCAUUAAACUAAGGAACUGGGUUAAUUAUCAGAAGUAUGCAUUGGAAGACGAUGAAGCAGGUUGAAGGGUUGUGCAAGGUAAUAAAAUUAUACAGGUUUUAUCUGUGGACUUGCAUAAGGAUAUGUUAUUUGCUCUGUACCACGAAGCAGAAAAAGAAGUGAAAUAACACCCUUCCACCUCACUUUCUGUGACCCCACCCCAAAAGAAAUUAUUGGCUUCUCUUGUUGGUGUUUGGCUGACAGUUUGAGUUGGUAGAAUAGGCUAGUAUUAUCAUUGGCUGAUUUUUAGGUGUUGGUAUCAGUGUCUUGUUGUUUCUUGAUGAUUGAGAUAGCAUCUGUAGUGUUAUUGAUUUGAUCUCUUUCAAAUUCAAUUCUAGCAACUGCCCCAAAGUCAGAGUGAGUUAGUAAGGAGUGUGGACUGUGUAAGUAAUUUGUUUUCCUAGCUAAUUCAUUUAGGCAAUUGUGUUUACCCUAUGUUCUUUCUUAAUCGAGAGUAAGGAAGGGCACAUUCUUUGCUUUGGGAAAUUCCUCUUUCUGUCCCCCCUCCCCUCACUUUCUCCAAAUUCUGGGCACAACAGCGGCUCUUCCUUUUCUGUGGCAGGUGUGCAUCCUAUUGGCUGGCUGGUAUUUCUUGUUUUCUUUUUUUUUUUCCUUAUUCUUUUAAAAUGGGGGUGGGGGUAUAAAAAUAUGUGUAUGGGAUACAUGCAAUAAUGUUGUAAUGUUUCUUGUUGUUUAAUGGAUAAUUAAUUGCAAAAUAAUUGUUUGAAUUAUAACAUGUUUGAGUAAAUGCUAAAUUAGUCAUUUUUUUCUAAUAUAAUAAUGAAUUUAAAAUCUAGCAUUCCUGUAACAAUGUGUCUGUGUUUGUCUGUCCGUGUCUGUCUAAUAGUAAUUAAUAUCUGUGGUCCGUACCUGGAAGAGGAAGUACAGCUUUAAAGGAAUAACAAAAGACUUUGUGUCUUAGACCCUUCGCAGGUGUUACAGUCGGGUGAAAGAACAUGGUGUUGGGAAAAGAAAGAGCAGUUACACAUUUGAACAGUUGGAACAGGUGUUUGGU